CCCAAGAGAUCGGGAUAACACCUGGAAACAGAUGCUAAUACCGGAUAACAACAGAUGAUGCCUAUCAACUGUUUAAAAGAUGGUUCUGCUAUCACUCUUGGAUGGACCUGCGGUGCAUUAGCUAGUUGGUAGGGUAACGGCCUACCAAGGCGAUGAUGCAUAGCCGAGUUGAGAGACUGAUCGGCCACAUUGGGACUGAGACACGGCCCAAACUCCUACGGGAGAGGCAGCAGGC
RNAcentral lists this ribosomal RNA (235 nucleotides) under uncultured Lactobacillus sp. RNAcentral describes it as "partial 16S ribosomal RNA". It matches the Rfam family "Bacterial small subunit ribosomal RNA", at positions 129 to 357 of the family's 1533-position model. The record is from RNAcentral. Lineage: Bacteria; Bacillati; Bacillota; Bacilli; Lactobacillales; Lactobacillaceae.